GACGAACGCUGGCGGCGUGCCUAACACAUGUAAGUCGAACGGGACCGGAGGGGCAACUCUUCAGUUCAGUGGCAGACGGGUGCGUAACACGUGAGAAACUUGUCCAUCGGUGGGGGAUAGCCGGCCCAACGGCCGGUUAAUACCGCGUACGAUCAUUCAAGGGCAUCCUUGAAUGAUGAAAGCCUUCGGGCGCCGGCGGAGAGUCUCGCGGCCUAUCAGCUAGUUGGCGGGGUAACGGCCCACCAAGGCGACGACGGGUAGCUGGUCUGAGAGGAUGGCCAGCCACAUUGGGACUGAGACACGGCCCAGACUCCUACGGGAGGCAGCAGUGGGGAAUCUUGCGCAAUGGCCGCAAGGCUGACGCAGCGACGCCGCGUGUGGGAUGAUGGCCUUUGGGUUGUAAACCACUGUCGGGAGGAACGAAUACGCGCCUCGGGCGCGGGUGCGGUACCUCCAAAGGAAGCACCGGCUAACUCCGUGCCAGCAGCCGCGGUAAUACGGAGGGUGCGG
RNAcentral lists this ribosomal RNA (510 nucleotides) under uncultured bacterium. RNAcentral describes it as "bacterial SSU rRNA". It matches the Rfam family "Bacterial small subunit ribosomal RNA", at positions 28 to 537 of the family's 1533-position model. The record is from RNAcentral.